RNAcentral lists this ribosomal RNA (253 nucleotides) under uncultured bacterium. Its description in RNAcentral is "partial 16S ribosomal RNA". It matches the Rfam family "Bacterial small subunit ribosomal RNA", at positions 524 to 776 of the family's 1533-position model. The record is from RNAcentral.
UACAGAGGCCUCGAGCGUUAGGCGGAAUCACUGGGCUUAAAGCGUGUGUAGGCGGACUUCUAAGUACCUUGUGAAGUCCCACGGCUUACCCGUGGAACGGCUGGGUAUACUGGGAGUCUUGAGCCACCUAGGGGCGAGUGGAACAAAUGGUGGAGCGGUGAAAUGCGUAGAUAUCAUUUGGAACGCCAAUGGUGAAAACAACUCGCUGGGGGUGUGCUGACGCUGAGACACGAAAGCCAGGGGAGCGAACGGG